This 77-nucleotide non-coding RNA is filed under the name fish gut metagenome. RNAcentral's name for it is "Glycine riboswitch". It matches the Rfam family "Glycine riboswitch aptamer", at positions 9 to 86 of the family's 94-position model. From Rfam's summary of the family: This family represents the bacterial glycine riboswitch. The record is from RNAcentral.
UCCUCUGGAGACACUGCGUAUGCAGGGCCGAAGGGGCAAGAGCUUUAGCUCAAUCUCUCAGGCAAAAGGACAGAGUU